GGGGCUACUGUCUGUACAAGAAGUUAUCAAGUAGAAUAUCUUUUUUUUGAGUUCGUAAAUUAAGAAAUUUAUUGAUUGCUGUACUUCGGUCUGAAAUCAAUACAGAUAAGAAUCCCUUUAUAUGAUCAUCUGCAUGUAUAUUUUUGUACUAUAAUGAUCAUUUCUAGCUUUACAUUGAAUAUAUGAUUCCUUAUUAUAUGUAUCAUAUGCAUGUUGACUUUUUUUGUGGCUGAG
This 234-nucleotide long non-coding RNA is filed under the name Elaeis guineensis (African oil palm). Its description in RNAcentral is "long non-coding RNA (EGUI_LNC030515)". Lineage: Eukaryota; Viridiplantae; Streptophyta; Magnoliopsida; Arecales; Arecaceae. The record is from RNAcentral.